UUAACUCUACUUUAGUUUUCUCUAGCGUGCUCACGUGAUAACAUUAUUAAAUAGCCGCGGUAUUCUGACCGUGCAAAGGUAGCAUAAUCAUUAGUUUUUUAAUUGAAAACUUGUAUGAAUGGUUGGACAAAGAAGAAGCUGUCUCUUGUGUUAGGAUUGAAUUUAACUUUUAAGUGAAAAGGCUUAAAUACUCUAGAGGGACGAUAAGACCCUAUAAAGCUUUAUAAAUUUAAAGAUUUUGUAUAUUUUUAUAUAAAAAUAAAUUCUAAAAGUUUAUUUGGUUGGGGCGACAAUGGUAUAAUUUAAAUAACUGCUAUUAAAUUUAACAAAUAUAUUUGUUUUAUAAAAAUAAUUGAUCCUUUAUAAGGAUUUUAAGAUCAAGUUACUUUAGGGAUAACAGCGUUAUUUUUCCUGAGAGUUCUUAUCAAAGGAAAAGUUUGCGACCUCGAUGUUGAAUUAAAAUGUCUUUUUAGUGCAGCAGCUAUAAAAGAAGGUCUGUUCGACCUUUAAUAUUUUACGUGAUCUGAGUUCAGACCCGGGGGAGAAUUUGGUUGGAUGGGGGGGUUUU
This 568-nucleotide ribosomal RNA is filed under the name Charybdis lucifera. Its description in RNAcentral is "partial 16S ribosomal RNA". It matches the Rfam family "Archaeal large subunit ribosomal RNA", at positions 1969 to 2726 of the family's 2987-position model. Lineage: Eukaryota; Metazoa; Arthropoda; Malacostraca; Decapoda; Portunidae. The record is from RNAcentral.